CUUUCUCUCUCCUCUCUCCCUUCUCGCAAAACCCUCUUCUAGGGUUCGUCCGCCGUGCCUCCGCCGCCGCCUAUACUUGGCCUUUCUCCACAGCCACCGUGAGUAAGAUGGUCUCCAGUACAAGAGAGACGGUCGACACUGCUGCCGGGGAAAAACAGAGAGCCUUAGAGGCGUUCUCGUACUCCGUUUUGAUGUUUGGUUCGCAGUGAGGAGGACAACAAAGGCUUCUGCAAGCGAGUGCCAACGCAUGCAAAACCCUCUAUCCAGGACACGGUAAGAGAAAAAAAAAAACGGAUGUGCAGAAGAGGCUCUCAAAACCUUAGAAUAGGGUCUGGGGUCUUCGCCGAAAAAAGAACAGCAACACCAGCAAACUAUCUGGAGUUUUGAUUGGCGAUCUCCAAUGCCUAUACAAAGAAAAAAGGAUGCCGAGAGCAGCGGCGAACACGGUCAACCUGCCACUUGCACACCGCUCACCAGCAAAAGGCCUACAACCUUCACUCUGUCAACAAUGACAGAGGACAACCGGUAGAGGUAGUGAUCAUUAUAAGCAUCGCAGGCACCACUGAAGCCUGAACAGACUUACUUGGAUUAGAAGAACCGUGGCUCUGAUACCAUUGAUGGGAUCUUCGCAGCGGAACGGCGUCUGCAUUAGGCUCUCAUCUGUCCAUUAGGUCCACAACCAGCAGCGUCUCAAACGUGAAGAAGUAGUACCUAUAAACAAUAGAGGGGAAAGGAAUAAGCAGAAGAGAAAGGGAUUCAUGGGUUUGCUUCUGAGAGGCGCAGCUUGGCUAAUCGAUGAUCAACCAAUUAGAUGAACAUACAUUGGGCUUUAUAGUCCGGCUCUCAGGUUUUUCCAAAUCCCAGCAAUAGUAUGGCAGGGAGAAAUUAUGGUAAGAUUGUAAAUGGCAAUAUUGAUUUUGUAAUCAAUUUCCUGUUUUAAUUUCGUAGCUGCAGGGGAUCCUCUUGCAGUUACGAGAGGAAUGGUAGGGAUCAGGGCCACUAUCCAACACCCUUACCCUUACGUUAGGAUAAGGGUUGUUCCCGAUAAUAUCAUUGGCAAUAGUUUCUUUGGUUAUUGGCAA
Nymphaea colorata (pocket water lily) is the source of this 1082-nucleotide long non-coding RNA. RefSeq lists it as uncharacterized. The record is from RefSeq and is a predicted model, not a curated record. The transcript has 2 exons. NCBI's taxonomy places the organism in Eukaryota, Viridiplantae, Streptophyta, Magnoliopsida, Nymphaeales, Nymphaeaceae.